GUCCCUGCAGCGCAAUGGAGAGCGCGUUGGGCUUCUAAUCUAAUGAUCGUGGGUUCGAUUUCCACCUGGGAUG
This is a non-coding RNA of Trichonephila clavipes, 73 nucleotides long. Lineage: Eukaryota; Metazoa; Arthropoda; Arachnida; Araneae; Nephilidae. The record is from the annotation of a GenBank genome assembly.